UUAAGGUUUCGAUUUUAGAUCAUUAGGUUUUCGAUUAGGGUUUCAAAGAUUACCUUAACCUCAAAUCGGGUUGAAUGGACCACCAACUAGAGAAGGUCGUGAACUGGACGUUGCUGAGGUUGAGUCGCGAACGGAUUGCUUGCUGAGAUCGUCGCGAGCUGGAACUGAUCGGGUCGCGAAUCGAGCUGCUAUCGGGUCGCGAACGAGGAUCGGUAUCGUCUGUCGCGAACUGGCUGGUUGCUGAGAUCGGGAACGCGAACGAGUUGAGUAUCGAGCUGAGUAUCGGGUCGCGAACUGGAUGUGAUCGAGCCGCGAGCUGGAACAAACUGAGAUCGGGAUGAAGGUUCACGAUCGGGGGUUCUCGCCGGUAAGGAUUAUCGCCGAGGGAAUUAGGGUUUUUGAGUCGGGUCGUUUAGCUUAGGAUUUUAGAGAAUCGUGUUGUUAACGUGUUGUGAAACUAGAGAAUAGAAAAUGUAUAUUCUUAUUAUUCUUAAACAUAAUGAGUCCUUUAUAUAUAGGGAGAGAAUUACACCGUCAUAGAAUAAUGAAAAGAGUACAAAUCAUAAACUAAUAAGGAAAAGUAAACUAGGGUUUCUCUCUUUCAAUAGGCGCCGGCUCUCUCUCUCUAAGGCGCCGGCUCUCUCUCUCUAGUAUAGACUGGUUAUGACAUCCAUAAUAUGAUUUAUAGCGAAAGUAACAUUUUUACUAUUUUUCCACUUUAUCAAUAGUACACAGAGUAAAACUAAAAUAGUAAUAGUCAAUCUGAUUGAGCUGAACUUGAAAUAUAAUUGUUUUAUUCCAAAAUAUUUACUCCAAUAGACUAUACAAUCACACCCUAUAGCUAGUAAAACAAUUAGAUAUAUUUCAUCGAAAGAAGAGGAUAUAUGAUAGUAUAUGAUGUCGUUGACAACUAGGAGCCGUUUUAUGCAAUUCUAUCAUUUUAAAUUUCAAUGCAGUAUUGAUGCAUAAAUUUUGAAAUGUCAACCAGAUCAAAUCGGUCUAGGCCACUGUUGACUGGAUUCAAAAUUUUGGAUGUUUGGAACUAACACAUUUUAGUAUAUAUAAAUUUGAUAUGAAGUGUAUGUUUUACCCAACUACAUGUAAAUAGUAUUAAAAAAAAGUAAUUAUUCAUGAAUGAAAACACGCUCUCUGAUACGUUAGCUUUAUUAAAAAAAAUUGGAAGGAGAGAUGGUAAUAUGGACUAUGUUCGCGGGUCUGGUCUAUUAAGACAUGUGGCGGGGCGGAUUUGGUCAUGCAAAAUAUAGGCCCAUUUUUAUGGAUCUUGCGGGUGUGAUCCGCACGGUAUUGGGCUAUUUUGGGACAGAGCGAAUUUAAUUUGCGGGAAAAUGGGUUCUUGUCGGAUUGUGUUACUUGCAUUGAGAAUCUUCUUUCUUGGUUCUUUUUAUUCGGUUUCACCACUUACACCGAAGAUAAGCAGAGCAACAAGUUUGGCGAUUGCAUGUUCUUCACUUUCUUCUCUUCUUCUUCGAUCAAAAUGAUCACAACUGUUAGUCCAUUAAGUUUCUUCUUCCCUUUCAAUCAUGACUCUUCUUGUCGUUGUUUGUUUUUCAUUUCUUCUCUUCACCGAAAAGAGAGAGGCGACCACAGCUCAACAUCUUCCUUCUCUACACAGUAGAUCGACAUGCAUGGACACAUGCAUAUAUUUCAUUCUUCUCAAUGGACACGAUUUCAGAGUUCAACUUAAAACACUGUAGGUAACUGUCUGAUUGACCUCUCAUCUUUAUAUUAUAUGCAUUUCUAGGGAAAGGAAAAGGAGAACUUUCACCGGGAUCGAAAAGGAUUACCUUCGACUUCAAACAAGAGUUUCGAGGAAUCAUACGGUAUGAUGAACCGACGUCCCGCGGGCCGACCGCUAAGGCCUAUGCAAUAGGCGGGGCGGGAAUGUUCAGUUAAAACAA
This is a long non-coding RNA of Brassica napus (rape), 1919 nucleotides long. RefSeq lists it as uncharacterized. The record is from RefSeq and is a predicted model, not a curated record. The transcript is spliced from 2 exons. NCBI's taxonomy places the organism in Eukaryota, Viridiplantae, Streptophyta, Magnoliopsida, Brassicales, Brassicaceae.